This 392-nucleotide ribosomal RNA is filed under the name uncultured bacterium. RNAcentral's name for it is "partial 16S ribosomal RNA". It matches the Rfam family "Bacterial small subunit ribosomal RNA", at positions 523 to 918 of the family's 1533-position model. The record is from RNAcentral.
ACACGUAGGGGGCGAGCGUUGUUCGGAAUCAUUGGGCGUAAAGGGCGCGCAGGCGGCGAGGCAAGUCCGGUGUGAGAGUGCUCGGCUCAACCGAGUGAUGCGCUGGAAACUGCCCUGCUUGAGUACAGGAGGGGACGUCGGAAUUCCAGGUGUAGGGGUGAAAUCUGUAGAUAUCUGGAAGAACACCGGUGGCGAAGGCGGAAGGCUGGCCAGGUACUGACGCUGAGGCGCGAAGGUGCGGGGAGCGAACAGGUUUAGAUACCCUGGUAGUCCGCACAGUAAACGAUGUGCACCAGGUGGCGGGGGGUAGCCCUCGGUACCGAAGCCAACGCAUUAAGUGCACCGCCUGGGGAGUAUGCUCGCAAGGGUGAAACUCAAAGGAAUUGACGGGG